GGGGGACUAGCUCACUUGGUAGAGCGCUCGCUUAGCGUGCGAGAGGUACUGGGUUCGAAUCCUGGGUUCUCCA
Molecule: transfer RNA, 73 nt
Organism: Trachipleistophora hominis
Lineage: Eukaryota; Fungi; Microsporidia; Pleistophoridae
Rfam family: tRNA
About the family: Transfer RNA (tRNA) molecules are approximately 80 nucleotides in length.
Source: Rfam